RNAcentral lists this ribosomal RNA (253 nucleotides) under uncultured bacterium. Its description in RNAcentral is "partial 16S ribosomal RNA". It matches the Rfam family "Bacterial small subunit ribosomal RNA", at positions 524 to 776 of the family's 1533-position model. The record is from RNAcentral.
UACGGAGGGUGCAAGCGUUAAUCGGAGUUACUGGGCGUAAAGGGUGUGUAGGUGGUUAUAUAAGUUAGAUGUGAAAUCCCCGGGCUCAACCUGGGAACUGCGUUUAAGACUGUAUAACUAGGGUACUGUAGAGGAUAGUGGAAUUUCCAGUGUAGCGGUGAAAUGUGUAGAUAUUGGAAGGAACACCAGUGGCGAAGGCGACUAUCUGGACAGAUACUGACACUGAGACACGAAAGCGUGGGGAGCAAACAGG